Molecule: ribosomal RNA, 253 nt
Filed under: uncultured bacterium
Lineage: Bacteria
Description: partial 16S ribosomal RNA
Rfam family: Bacterial small subunit ribosomal RNA
Source: RNAcentral
UACGUAGGGACCAAGCGUUGUUCGGAUUUACUGGGCGUAAAGGGCGCGUAGGCGGCGCGGUAAGUCACUUGUGAAAUCUCCGAGCUUAACUCGGAACGGUCAGGUGAUACUGAUCUGCUAGAGUGCGGAAGGGGCAAUCGGAAUUCUUGGUGUAGCGGUGAAAUGCGUAGAUAUCAAGAGGAACACCUGAGGUGAAGACGGGUUGCUGGGCCGACACUGACGCUGAGGCGCGAAAGCAUGGGGAGCGAACGGG